CGCAAGUGUACCCCGAUUGGUAAGGGGCAUACCCGCCUACACGGCGGGAUGGAAUGCCGGUUCGAUUCCGGCCCUUGCGG
This 80-nucleotide transfer RNA is filed under the name Desulfovibrio sp. OttesenSCG-928-G15. RNAcentral's name for it is "tRNA-Cys". Lineage: Bacteria; Pseudomonadati; Thermodesulfobacteriota; Desulfovibrionia; Desulfovibrionales; Desulfovibrionaceae. The record is from RNAcentral.